UNCCCUAUCGUCUAGAGGCCUAGGACAUCGCCCUUUCACGGCGGUAACCGGGGUUCGAAUCCCCGUAGGGACGCCA
Molecule: transfer RNA, 76 nt
Filed under: Acinetobacter baumannii
Lineage: Bacteria; Pseudomonadati; Pseudomonadota; Gammaproteobacteria; Moraxellales; Moraxellaceae
Description: tRNA-Glu
Rfam family: tRNA (bases 3-70)
About the family: Transfer RNA (tRNA) molecules are approximately 80 nucleotides in length. Their secondary structure includes four short double-helical elements and three loops (D, anti-codon, and T loops). Further hydrogen bonds mediate the characteristic L-shaped molecular structure. tRNAs have two regions of fundamental functional importance: the anti-codon, which is responsible for specific mRNA codon recognition, and the 3' end, to which the tRNAs corresponding amino acid is attached (by aminoacyl-tRNA synthetases). tRNAs cope with the degeneracy of the genetic code in two manners: having more than one tRNA (with a specific anti-codon) for a particular amino acid; and 'wobble' base-pairing, i.e. permitting non-standard base-pairing at the 3rd anti-codon position.
Source: RNAcentral